This 3098-nucleotide long non-coding RNA is filed under the name Homo sapiens (human). RNAcentral's name for it is "HSALNT0396718". The record is from RNAcentral. Lineage: Eukaryota; Metazoa; Chordata; Mammalia; Primates; Hominidae.
CUGCCUGGGCUCAGCCCACAGAUUGGAUUGUAACACAUCGCUGAACCCAGGAUCUAGGUUAUUUGCCUCUUCUCUUCUGCCUGGGCACUGCCAAAGAAAAAAGGAGAUUGUAGCAAUUCACUGGACCCAGAACCUAGUUGAGGGAGCAUUGUGACAUGCCACUGGGCUCAGCACCCAGGUGAUGUUCCUCUCCUGCCUGGUCCCUUCCAUCAGGGAAUAUUGUACAAAUCUCUGGCCAAGCACCCAGUUGAUGUGACUCUCCUGCUCACUACCUACUCACAGGUUACAUGUCCCAUGUCGCAGAAAAUGUUGUAAUGUAUUGCUGGACCCAGUCACCAGAUGAUGUGUCUCUCCUGCCAAGGCUGUGCCCACAGAGAGCAUUUUGACAUAUCACUGGGCUCAGCACCCAGGUGAAAUGACUCUGCUGCCUGUACUCUGCUUUAAGAGGGGAUUGUAAUAUAUCUGUGGCUGAGCACCUAGGUGAGAUGACUUCUGCGUGGUUUCUGACCUCAGGAAAGAUUGUGACAUAUCUUUGCCGAAAACCUACAUGAUGUGAAUCUGCUGCUCACUUCCUACCGACAGUCUCCAAAGUUAUCAGAAACCUGCAUUUAAAAAUACCUGGCAAAGUUCCAUAGCGGACCAUAAAUCACCUCUUGAAGAGGAUCGAAUCAAGACAACAAUUGUCUGAGGGAUUGAGACAAUUCUGGAAGCCCAGCACCUAGGUGAUGUGACUUUCAUCUUUUGUUUGGACCGUGUGCACAAAAGGAAGAGUGGCUUAUCACUGGACCUCACACACAGGAGGUAUUGUGACAUAUUCCUGGAGCAAGUACCCAGGUAAUGUAACUCUUUUCUACUGCUUGGACUCUACCCAAGGAGAGAUUCUAAUGUAUCACUGGACCCAGCACCUAGGUUACGUGACUUUCCUCUUGUGUCUGAGUCUUGCAUAAAUUGUGUAUUGUGACAAAUCUCUGGGUCUAAAACCUAGGUGAUGAGACUCUUAUGCAUGAGCCCUGCUUACAGGGAUAUUAUGACAUAUCUUUUUUUUUUAAUCACCUAUGUGAUGUGCCUUUGUUUGUGUGUGUGUGUGUGUGUGCGUCCUGGCCCUGCCAAAAGUGGGGAUUGUAACAUAUCAUUAAACUUAGUACCAAGGUGUUAUGACUCACCUUGUUUGCCUGGGCCCUGCAUAUAUUUGGUAAUGUGACGUAUGGCUGAGACAAACACCUAGGGCAUGAGAGCCUUGUGCCUGGGUCCUGCCCACAAGGAGCCUUUUGGCUUAUCUCUGCAUCCAUGAACUAGGAGAUGUGACUCUUCUUUUCUGUCUGGGUUCUGCAAAAACAAGUGAUUGUGACAUAUCAUCAAACCCAGCAACUAGACGAUGUGAUUUUUCUUCCCUGCUUGAGCCCUGGAUAUGCUGUGCAUUGUGAUAUAUGGCUGGGUCCAACAUCAAGGAGAGAUUGUGACAUAUCUCUGGAACCAGAACCUUGGUGAUGUGACUCUUCUCUCCUGCUGAAGCCAUGCCCACACAAGGGAAAGUGACUUAUCACUGGGCCCAGCACACAGCGCUAUUCACAGGGAAAAUAGUGACACAUCUGUGGGGUUCUCACCGAAAUGAUGUGACUCUCUUGCCUGGGCUCACCUCUCAAGGGAAUUUUGACAUAUUACUGGACCAAGCACCUAGGCCCUGCAUUUAUUGUGUAUUGUGACAUAUGGCUUGGUCCAACACCUAGGUGGUGUGACUCUCUACUUCUUCCUGUGCCAUGCCAAAGAAGAGGAUUGUGACAUAUCACUGGAUCCAGCACCUAGGAUGCAUAUGCCAGAUUUCCAGGCCCAUCACCUAGAUGAUGAGACUCUCCUCUUCUUUCUGGGACCAAUACACAGUGGGAAUUGUGAUGCAUCGUUUAGCUCAGCAGCUACAUGAUGUGACCCUCUUCUCAUGAGAUUCCUGCCCACUUGGGUAAUUGCAACAUAUAAUGUAGCCGAGUUUCUAGGAUACCUGACUCUUCUCUUAUUCCUGAGACUUACACAGAAUCGGCAACAUCUCUGAUCUUCUCACCUAGGAGACAUGACCCAAAAAGGGAUUAUGACAUAUCUCUGAGCCCAACACCCAAAUGUUGUGACUCUCCUGCCUGGGCUGUGCCUAGAGAAAAUAUAAUAUGUCACUGGGCCCUGCAUGCAAGUGAUCUGAUUCUCCAGCCUGGGCCUUGCCCACAGGGGAGAUUGAGACAUAUUCCAGGUGGAUGGUGACUCUAAGACCAGGAUUCAACACAACUAGAAGGCUUUGACUCUAAUACGAGUCACAGAAGGCUCUGCGACUCUUCUAUUUUCUCUAGGUUAUGCAAAUGGAGGUGGAUUGUGACAUAUCAUAGGGCCAACACAACACACAGUCUACAGGUGGAAUUGGGACUCUCAUGCAUGGAUCCAGUUCAUCAUUGAUACUGUGACUCAGGUGGGAUUUUGACAUAUAACUGCACCCAGCACACAGGUGAGAUUGUGACUCUUGUAUGCUCAUCCUGCCAAAAGUUGAGUGUCACCCUCACACAUGGACAGAGACUUCUGUGGUCCAUUACAUUGAUGACAUUAUGCUGAUUGAAUCCAGUAAGCAAGAAAUAGCAAACACACCAGACUUAUUCAUGAGACGUUUGCAUGCCAGAGGAUGGAAAAUAAGUCUGACUAAAAUUUAGAGACCUUCUAGCUCAGUAAAACUUCCAGGGGUCCAGUGGUCCAAGGCCUGUCAAGAUAGUCCUUCUAAGGUAAAAGGUAAGUUGCUGCAUUUGGCCCAUCCUACAACCAAGAAAGAGGCACAAUGUCUAGUGGGCCUAUUUGGGUUUUGGAGGCAACCUAUUCCUCAUUUGGGUGUGUUACUCUGGCCCAUUUAUUGAGUGACCCAAAAAGCUGCCAGUUCUGAGUGUGGUCCAGAAAAGGAGAAGGCUCUGCAACAGGUCCAGGCUGCUGUGCAAGCUGCUCUGCCACUUGGGCCAUAUUACCCAGGAGAUCCAAUGGAUCUUGAGUUGUCAGUGUAAAAUAAGGAUGCUAUUUGUAGCCUUUGGCAGGCCCCCUUAGGUGAAUCACAGCAGAGGCCUCUAGAAUUUUGUUCUUUC